RNAcentral lists this ribosomal RNA (152 nucleotides) under uncultured bacterium. Its description in RNAcentral is "partial 16S ribosomal RNA". It matches the Rfam family "Bacterial small subunit ribosomal RNA", at positions 356 to 504 of the family's 1533-position model. The record is from RNAcentral.
GAGGAAUAUUGGUCAAUGGGCGGGAGCCUGAACCAGCCAAGUCGCGUGAGGGAUGACGCCCCUAUGGAUUGUAAACCUCUUUUGUCGGGGGAGCAAAAGACCCCACGCGUGGCGUUCCGAGAGUACCCGAAGAAAAAGCAUCGGCUAACUCC